Molecule: ribosomal RNA, 427 nt
Filed under: uncultured bacterium
Lineage: Bacteria
Description: partial 16S ribosomal RNA
Rfam family: Bacterial small subunit ribosomal RNA
Source: RNAcentral
GUGGGGAAUUUUGGACAAUGGGCGCAAGCCUGAUCCAGCAAUGCCGCGUGUGUGAAGAAGGCCUUCGGGUUGUAAACUCCUUUUGGAGGGGAAGAAUAAAUUGACGGUACCCUCAGAAAAAGCCACGGCUAACUACGUGCCAGCAGCCGCGGUAAUACGUAGGUGGCGAGCGUUACUCGGAAUUACUAGGCGUAAAGCGUAUGUAGGUGGUUAGAUAAGUCUAUGGUGAAAUUUCCUGGCUUAACUGGGAAGGGACAUAGAUACUAUCUGGCUUGAGUGUGGGAGGGGGAGACGGAAUUCCUGGUGUAGCGGUGAAAUGCGUAGAUAUCAGGAGGAACACCGAUGGCGAAAGCAGUCUCCUGGCCCAAUACUGACACUGAGGUACGAAAGCUAGGGUAGCAAACAGGAUUAGAAACCCCAGUAGUCC